Molecule: non-coding RNA, 103 nt
Organism: Acanthosepion pharaonis
Lineage: Eukaryota; Metazoa; Mollusca; Cephalopoda; Sepiida; Sepiidae
Source: the annotation of a GenBank genome assembly
UACGGCAAUAUCACGCUGAAACACCGGUUCCUGUACGUUCAUGGAAGUUAAGCAACGUCUAACCCGGUUAGUACCAAGAUGGGUGACCACUUGGGAAAUCCAG